AUGUGGGUGGCUGAGAAGGGCACUAGGGUGGGGGUGGCUGGAGGAAUUUUAAGUGCUGUGAUGAAAUGGGCACCCUUCUCUGCCCUCCAUCGCCAAGCCCUACACCUCUGCGAAGACUGUGACACACAAAGUCCUGUGUCAACGGUUGUGCCAGGUAGAGACAAAGUCGCUGGAAUUGCAGCCGCCUGGUACCUCUGGAGCAUCUGGGUCCCUGGAGGGCAGAGCUGUCUUGAACUGCUUGCAAAGGAGUCUGUGCCCGCAGAGAGAGCCUGCUCCAGCCUCUUUGCUACAGCCUUGAGUCUUCUGCUACAGGACAAGAGGAAGAGGAGGGCUCGGACGCUGUGGCACAGAGGGCUGGUUUCCUCCCAAUGUACAUUUCCCUUGCUUCCAUGUCAUACACGUGUUUAUCUGUGCUCGUGGCUGCCCUGAAUAAGAACUGUAUUUCCAGCUUUCUGGAAGCCAGGUGUGGUCAUGUGACUAAGUUGUAGCCAAUAGCCUGUGGGGAGUAGUGAGGUGUGCAACAACUGGCCAGAGCUGUUAAAGGGAAACGCUGUGUUCUUCCUUCUGUGUUCCCCCUUCCUUGGCUGGAAUUGCCUGUGGCAGUGCUCUACUUUUCCUUUUUCUUUUCCUUUUGGUUUUUGUCUCACUCUGUUGCCCAGGCUAGGGUGCAGUGGUGCAAUCUCAGUUCACUGCAACCUCUGCCUCCUGGGCUCAAGCCAUCUUUCCAUCUCAGCCUCCAGAGUGGCUGGAACUACAGCUGCAUGCCACCAUGCCAAGCUAAUAUUAUUAAAUUUUAAAAUAUUUAUUAUUUUGAGAUGGAGUCUCACUCUGUUGCCCAGGCUGGAGUGCAGUGGCACGAUCUUGGCUCACUGCAACCUCUGCCUCCUGGGUUCAAGCGAUUCUUCUGCUUCAGCCUCCUGAGUAGCUGGGAUUACAGACAUGUACCUCCAUACCCAGAUA
This 960-nucleotide long non-coding RNA is filed under the name Pan paniscus (pygmy chimpanzee). Its description in RNAcentral is "lncRNA (ENSPPAG00000044725.1)". Lineage: Eukaryota; Metazoa; Chordata; Mammalia; Primates; Hominidae. The record is from RNAcentral.